ACCGGAGAAAGGGGCGAAGCGACCCGCUUCAGAUCUUGUUCAUUUCGCAUUUAUUAAUCGAGAAAAUGGCGCUAAAGCUAUUUAUGCUGCUCCCGUUAAAGCUCUUGUAGUGGCUCCUGCCAAAGAAAGAGUUUCAGCCCCUGGCUUUGGUGUGAGAUGGCUCUUUGAGACCUUUCCCCAUUAGGGCUUAGAGUGAACCGAUGCGAAUGGUUUUCUCAGGCUUUUAGGGAAGCAAUGCAUAACUCCCUUUUCCAGAGAGGUGGGCCGGGCGAACUGCUUUACCCCUAAUUAAGAAAAGGGGAUUGGAGGUGGGGAAGAGCAGACAUUGGUUGGUGUGGCGAAGGCCAUUGAAAUCGUGCCAGUUUGACUCUCUACUAGCUGUCAAAGAAAGCAAUGAUGCUGCGCACCUUUCAUCUUCCUCCCGCUCGUGCCUCCCCGGUCCCGUAUGGGAAGUCCCUUCGCUCGCCUAAGGGUUAGUUAGGAGUUCUGGCUUAUAAGGCUAGAAGGGUUUAAGUCAGUGUGUCGUUUUGUA
This 532-nucleotide unclassified non-coding RNA is filed under the name Hevea brasiliensis (rubber tree). The record is from RNAcentral. Lineage: Eukaryota; Viridiplantae; Streptophyta; Magnoliopsida; Malpighiales; Euphorbiaceae.